UUGCCCCAAAGUAGAAAGCCACUGAAAGUAGCCAUGCAUCACUGUGAACAGCAACCAAAGAAAGCCAGUCCUUUUGUUGCAUCCCAUCCCUAGCGAAGUUUAUGCCCAAUGCAGGCUCGGGAAGUUCGGGAGGAACUUCUUCAGCAGGUAAAUUAACUUCCCAUUUUUCAGUGGGGAACCCAUACAGACAAAGAUUCUCCUUUUCUGAUGUACAGGAGAUAAAUAAAUAAAUAAAUAAAGCAUCAACAUCUUUUAACAAUUUAGUUCAUUUCCAUUAAUGUUAUUUCUUCUGCUUAUCAUCUACAACAGAUUAAAAGAAUAUGGCAUAGGAAAGAGAAAAACAAAAAUCGACAAUCUUGUUUGAUCAAAUAAAACACAGGAUUGCAAUUUCAAAUUUGGAGCCACAUGCACAAAAUAAUCACCCAAUACAAUCAUAUAAUGCAAUGAAUAGAAACUCAACAUCCAAUUUCAAUUGUACAAUUACUGAGAAAAUGAAGCUUCUAAAUAAGCACGUAAAAACAUCAAACAAUAUACAUAGCUGCUUCAGCUAUUAAAAGCAAUAAUAUAACAGAUUCAAGGGUAGUGGUCAUACUGAUUCAAAAUAGAAAACUACAAAAUCCAUAUCUACCAAUUUUUCAUUGUCCAAAAGUCAUACAAGUAAACUAAAAGCUUCAUUCACCAAUAUAAAAUUGAUUAAUAGUCUGGCAUAUAUCUAAAUUAGAUGAAUAAAACCGAGUAACCAAUACCAACUGAAUCAAUACCAUUGGAUUUCAUAGAACAGAGGACUUGACAGAAGCCUAUAUAUACUAAUUACUAAGCCAAAGUAUGUUGAUGUGACAAGAUAUAUUAACAAUGGUGCCAAAAUUAUAGAUCAUAUCUUUGAUUAAACAAAGGAAGCAAGAACAUAAAACAGAAGAUAAGGAAUGUAAAGCUUCACCUUAAAAAUAAUUUAAAUAUAGACACAUGAAGAAAACACCCUAAAGAUUACAAGCAACAUUUAAAUAUACAAUACGUGUGAGCUCUACAUUAAGAAGUAAUUUUACCAUAUAUUUAAAGGGAAGUUCAACACAGGUGGAAACAUGUGCAGCAUUUGAGAUCACAUGUAGAUUAUUUAUCAACUUACUAAUUCAUCAAAAUAAAAUCAUAAUGGAAAGUUCAGUUUUUUCUUAAAAAAUGAUGAGAAAAGAAAAGAAGGUUAAAAAUGUUGUGCUUUCAACAGGAAUGACCUUUUAGUUGGGAACAGAAGCAAGGAUGAUAAAUAUAAAACCAAAGAAAGGGAUGAGAUUUAUAUGAUCUACAAGUAUUUGUGCACUUAUUUAUUACAAAUAUUUGUAUACUUAUUUAUUACAAAUAUUCAUACAACAUUUACUUAACUAAUAUCACAAUCACACCUCAUGAAAACACCAAACAGUAUCAGUAAUGAAACCAGACUCAACAGUUUCAGAUGCAUAAAUCUCGCCGCAUGCACCACAAUGUCCCUCGUCUUCAUCUUCUACCAAUCUCUCCUCCUCCUCGUCCUCAUCCUCGUCCUUUGCUUGCUUCGUAUACUUCCUUGACUCAGAUCCUCGCUAUUUUGGUCCAAUAACAAAACAAUGAAGUGGAAAUAGUAUAUUAGGAAGGAAAUAAAUAAGUAAAUAAAAAUAUGGCAUACCAACUUUAUUAUGUAUUAUAAGAAAGAUGUUUCCUGCUUCUAUCCAUGUCACAUACAUGGAUCCAGAACAGUUAGAAGCUAGUGUCGAUGUUUUGUUCAAGUCAAAACAUGUAGUACAAUUACAACACUAAUAAACAAUUAGAAAAAACACGAGAUAAAAUAAAAUAUUCAAGGAAUAGUGGAGGUAAGCAGAUUUUUUUUACCCCUUUAGAACCGGACUUUGAUUUGUUGCUGGUGUGGUUUGAAACUGGUGAGUUUUCCUUUGACUGUUUCUUUGCAUUUCCAGUCAGAACCUCAUAUAUUGUUGGCAGAUCAUUAAUCAUAGUGAAUAGGCGUUUCCUGCACAAAGAAUCACAUUUUAUAACAGACAGGAUAUAGAUCACAAGUAAAAAUAACCCAAUAUACAUGCCUGAUGCUACAGAAAUAACUCCUCUAACGUGAGCAAAUAAAUAAGGGUGUAUCUACAGAUACAACCUUACAUGUUCACUUUAUAUAUUUGCUCAGUUUAGAUGAGCCAUUUCCGGAUGCCGCAGUCCAUCUUUUGCAUUGAAUGAACUACUUUUGUUUUACAUCUUGCUAAUUAUUUGACAUAUAUCAACACAUAAGUUCUGUAUUCCAUUCAAAUAGUUACUAACACUGUCUAGAAACCAAGAAACAAACCCAAAAAAUCGGCUAGGAAAUUUUUAAAAGCUAACCAUAUCUAAAAAUAUGAAACCCCAAUCUUGAUGGAAAUUUUAUAGCUAACAUCUCGUCAUGCAAACCCAUCCCAAAGGGUCAAACCCCCAGUUUUUCUAUAAAGAGAGGAGCUUGGAAGCUUAAAUGUAAAUUCUCGAUACAAGGUCAUUCCUUCCUGAUAGGUAUAUAUGACUAACAAGAAAGUUAUCAGUAAAGAUAACUACAAAUGAAAUGGUUCGGAAGUAAAAGACACUCUGAUCCACUGCAAUUAAAGUAAGAAAAAAAGAGAAAGGCAUAAGUAAAGUCCGUUGCUUAUGUGUUUCUCAUCUUUGCUUUUCCUUUUGCAUAGCAAAAAGAAAAUGCUCUAUCCUAAGAGUGCUAGACGGAUCAUGUUAGUCUCAUUCUCAUGACAGUUUGUGUUGAUUGAAAAUCUUUUCCCCAUAAAAUUUACUUAUAUAGGUAUCAUAACUUAUGCCUAGCAAAUUAACAAAAGACAAGUCUUCAGCUCCAAAAAUUGUUUGUCGUAUGAAAAUUUAAGCAAGGAAUUCCUACAUAUUUUAUUACAUUAUAAUCACAGUUGUAAUGUUUUCAAAUUAACUAAAGCUCUAUGGAAAACACUACACAAGCAAACUAAAUGAAAUCAACAUUGCCACAUCAGAAACAUGAGCUCCAAAGUAAAAGAAAAUGGCAUGCAUCCAAAACAUGUUCUCAUCCAACUCAGAAAAUGAUUGCUUGGAGAAGAACAUAACAAAUGAUUGGAGCAAAGAAUUAUACCGGUCAGCACUAUCAAAACCAAAUCUUGCCCCAAAGUAGAAAGCCACUGAAAGUAGCCAUGCAUCACUGUGAACAGCAACCAAAGAAAGCCAGUCCUUUUGUUGCAUCCCAUCCCUAGCGAAGUUUAUGCCCAAUGCAGGCUCGGGAAGUUCGGGAGGAACUUCUUCAGCAGGUAAAUUAACUUCCCAUUUUUCAGUGGGGAACCCAUACAGACAAAGAUUCUC
This 3324-nucleotide long non-coding RNA is filed under the name Lupinus angustifolius (narrow-leaved blue lupine). RNAcentral's name for it is "long non-coding RNA (LANG_LNC003518)". Lineage: Eukaryota; Viridiplantae; Streptophyta; Magnoliopsida; Fabales; Fabaceae. The record is from RNAcentral.